Molecule: long non-coding RNA, 1669 nt
Organism: Aphis gossypii (cotton aphid)
Lineage: Eukaryota; Metazoa; Arthropoda; Insecta; Hemiptera; Aphididae
Exons: 3
Source: RefSeq, a predicted model, not a curated record
UAACUAGAUACUAACGAUUGAUAAGCAGUACCACAGCAAUGUUAGUGGCGCUGUUGCUGGUCACGUCAUUAUGAAUAACUAACGUUAACGAACUGAAAAUCUAAUUUAAAAUUUUUUUCAAGGCCGAUCGGUUAUCGGUUUUUUUAUUGUAAUAUAUUUUUUAAUUACAUAUCUAUAUAACAUAUUUUUCGGAUUUAUACAUUAAUAGAAGAGUAUCGUCAACCAAUCAGUUAGUAGGUACCAAUGUCAUAAAAAAUGCAUAAUAUUAGUUUUGUUCGAAGUAUAAUACAAUUAUCGGAUAUUGAACAAGUCGAACAUAUUGCAGUGGUCGGAUUUCAGUGGUUGCAGUUUCGUUGGUUGACAUUUGGCAAUUUUACCUCCAUAGACGUGUAAGGUGUUUUGGAGCUGUCAAUUUGAAAAUAUACAUUAAAUAAGAUCAAUGAAAAAAAUAAUCUGAGACAUCAGAAUGUGAAAAAUAAAGAAGAACACUUACACCAGUGCUUUCGUAUCUUUAUGUGAUACGAUGAACAGUUAAAUACAUUUUUCACAAAUUUAAUGUAAGUGUUAUUUGUAUUUAUUAGGUAAUUUUAUUUUGAAUAAUUUUGUGUUUUUGAUGUCUAUUAAGUGAGUUCAUGAAACGAUAAAUCCGUGUCAGAUAAGUGAUAAGUGAAUUUUGGUAUGUUGUAAUAAAGUCACUAUGUACAUUGAAAUGAGAUUCUAAAAAAGUAAGGUACAGUAUGAAAAUAAUCACCAUAACGUAAUUUAAUUUACAUGGUGAUAAUAAUUUAUAAUUUCACCAUUGUAUACAAAUAUAAUUAUAAAAUAAUAUACACUUACAGAAAAGGAUUAUUUAUUUUUGACGAAAAUUUCAUUAGUUCAUUUGAUCGCUUGGGAUUUUAUGUACUUAUUUAUUAGGUGCAGUAGUACAUAGAUUUACACUAUAUAUAUAAUUUUUUUAGCGUUAAAAAGCGUAUCGUUUAUGGUUCUAGAUUAUAAAAAAGUUGGUAUUAUUGUAACGCAAUAAAGAUUUUUAAUUCUGAUUUUGAAAUCGCGAAAUUGUUCAUAAAUCAUCUAAUUCAUCGUUCCGUUAGCAAACAAAAUAUGUCAACAUCGCGCCCCGGUAUAUUAAAGUCAUUAAAAAAAACGAUCCAAUUUAAGAGAGACCUUUGUAUCAGCCAAUAUAUAUUAUGAUAUACUAUUUUAUUAAAGCAUCUAAACUGCUGUUACACAAUCGUAAACCAUCGCUAUUCUUAUUAAUGGUAAAUCUCCGGUCGAGAAAUAAUUUUAAACGGGUCACGAUGGGUGCAUUUAUUUUUAACCGAAAUAAAAUCAUUUUUGCACUAUAAAUAAUACUACAUUUAAUAAUGAACAUAAUUAUUACUCAUCGAUGUAUGUUUAGUGUUUGUGAACAUGGAACGUGAUUCAAGUGUAGAGAAAUACAUUAUACAUUUUAAUUAAUAUAUCAUACUAAAAACUGUAUUAGACUUUUAUACUGUGAUAGGAGGUCUUCUCUCAUCUUAUGUUUUUGUUUUUAUUGUGAAGCAUAUGGUCAAUAAAGUCAUGUAUAUUACCAAUUUUAAAUUAUACUACAGUCUUGUUAUUGUAACGAAGAGAAACAAAUAUUUUAAAGAAAUAGAAAACAUAAUGUUAUAAAAAAGUGUACUUAUAC